GAUGAACGCUGGCGGCGUGCCUAAUACAUGCAAGUCGAGCGAACGGACGAGAAGCUUGCUUCUCUGAUGUUAGCGGCGGACGGGUGAGUAACACGUGGAUAACCUACCUAUAAGACUGGGAUAACUUCGGGAAACCGGAGCUAAUACCGGAUAAUAUUUUGAACCGCAUGGUUCAAAAGUGAAGGACGGUCUUGCUGUCACUUAUAGAUGGAUCCGCGCUGCAUUAGCUAGUUGGUAAGGUAACGGCUUACCAAGGCAACGAUGCAUAGCCGACCUGAGAGGGUGAUCGGCCACACUGGAACUGAGACACGGUCCAGACUCCUACGGGAGGCAGCAGUAGGGAAUCUUCCGCAAUGGGCGAAAGCCUGACGGAGCAACGCCGCGUGAGUGAUGAAGGUCCUCGGAUCGUAAAACUCUGUUAUUAGGGAAGAACAUAUGUGUAAGUAACUGUGCACAUCUUGACGGUACCUAAUCAGAAAGCCACGGCUAACUACGUG
Molecule: ribosomal RNA, 497 nt
Filed under: uncultured bacterium
Lineage: Bacteria
Description: partial 16S ribosomal RNA
Rfam family: Bacterial small subunit ribosomal RNA
Source: RNAcentral